UUUCGCGCAAAAACAAAGUGCCAAAAUUUUUUUCAUUUCCCUCUCUGUGCCAUGAAUAUAUUUUGUUUCCUUCACUUUCAGACCCAUACUCGAAAACCCCCCAAACCCCAAACACAGAAACCCCAAUGGAGAGACCCAUACUUGGAAACCCCCAAACCCCAAAGGCAGAAACCCCAACGGAGAGACCCAAACUCAAACCUCAGUUAGCGUCGAAACCCCAAACGGAGAGACCCAAACCCACGGUAGAGCCAUCUGCGGUUCUUUCGAGCUCCAUCGGAUAUGGCUCCUCCCAUCUCCCUCUACACUUGCACGGCUGACUAUUAAGUUUUUGGCUGGUAUUGGUGGUGGUGGGCUUGGGUUCUUCGCUGUGAAAAUGUCACCGAUUCCACUCUCUUAAUUUACUAGCACAAUUUUUCUUUUAAUCGCAAUCGCAAUCCCUCUGCACUUGCACGGCUGAAUUUGAUUUGCUACAUUCAAGAUGGUCGAAUUAUUUAAAAAUAUAAGGGAGAUGAUGUUGCAUCACACAUUCUCUUUGUCUCUCGCCCUUUACUAGAUGACUGUGAUGAAGCCUAGACACCUCGUGUUGUGGCUCACUGUCUUCAGGUUCAUACGAAUGUGAUGGGGUAGCUAGUUAGGAUCUUUCUUUAGACCUCUUGGACUAUCCAUAAUCUCAUUUAUGUCAGCAAUUAUGUAAGUUCAUUCAAAUGUAUAUUGUUCUUUUUUUUAUAUGUCUGAUUUCUUGUUUUUUUUUCUUUUCGUUUGGGAUCUAGCUUUUUGAGUUAUUAUGUUUGCAUCUUCCCUAAUAAAGGACUGUAGAUUGUAUUUUAUUUGGGAACUCAGCCCUAUUCAAGCAAAUGCGAUCAUUUUGUAUGACAUUGGCAUAUCUAUUUUGUUUAUAUGCUGAUUGGGUUACAUACCUUGAUGUGUGGUAGUUGGUUCAAAGUUUGUGUUUAUAUGCUAUAAUGGCUUUAAUUCAACAAGCAAGACUUGAUUUGAUAAAAAUUAGUUGAUUGUAUAUUUAUCUACACCCAAUUGCAAUAACUGCUAAAAUACUUAGCCCACUAUAUAUUAUGAUUUACAUUUGCUGUACAUAAAUUGUUGCAAAAGAAUCUCUAUAAACAUUUAUGAUCUCAUUUGUUAGUGGAAAACUGAUCUUAAACACUAAACUUACUAGAUUUUUUAAUUUUGUUAAAUAUGGGUGUUGCUGCACUUUAGAAGUACAUAGGGAACUUAGGUGGUAUAUAUGUUAUAUAGGAGCCUUUAAUGUUUCCUCAAGCACCUAUUUUACUCCAAAAGACUUAAAUAUGUAAAUUAUUCCAGAAAACGUAGAAAAGAAUGAGGGACCUGAGACACCAGCUAGGACUAUGAAGCCGUCUUUUCUCGUAACACUACUCAGGUCAGUUUAGACACAAUGUUUGAUGUACAGAUCAAGAGAAUACAUGAGUACAAAAGACAGUUGCUUAAUAUCCUCGACAUUAUCCAUCGAUAUGAUUGUAUCAAGAAUAUGAAUGAGAGUGACAGGAGGAAGGUUGUACUGUGUGUAUUUGGGCAUAUGGAAAGAAUGAGAGAUAUGUUUCUAAAGACAUUUAGUGAGAUCAUAUGCUUUACUAAGUGUUUUUUAUUGCUUGACCAUUCAGAACUUUAUUUUAUCUAAGAACCUAUGCACAUUGUGUGAGCGUGACUGUUUCUAUGCAGCACUGCAGGGCAUGAGGCCUCAGGAACUGGUAGCAUGAAAUUUCUUAUGAAUGGAUGUCUACUCUUAGCUGCAGCUGAUGGUUCAACAGUUGAAAUUAUUGAAGAAAUUGGGGCAGAAAAUAUGUUUUUGUUUGGUGCAAAGCUGGAUGAAGUUCCCAUCUUGCGUGAGAGAGGACCCAACACGAAAGUGAAUCUGCAAUUUGCACGGGUUGUGAGGUAGUACCUGUUUUCCCUUUUCACUGCCAGUUCAUUAUCAUUUGAUCAUCAAUAUCCCAACAGAUGCUUGCCACAGCUAAUUUAGUGAACUAGUCACAUGCAAUUUCUAACUGACAGUAAAACUAGCUUUCAGAUAGAUAGUUCGACUUACCGAAUCAAAUUUGCCGAAGUAUUCAAUAUUGUGCUUUUGUCCAGCCUUUGUUUUGGACGGCCAAAAAAUUAAAAUUCUGAUGCUUGCUCGAAGCAUACCUUGAUAGGUUUUCCUUAGAAUAGGAUCAACCUGUUAGACCCAAACACAAUAUUACAAAGAGUGGAGAAUGGUCCCAGAAGAUGUGAGAGCUCCAUUGCGACACUAUCUUUUGGAACAUUUUGACAUCAACUUGAAUGAUGAGACAACUAAAAAAUACAUUGAUGAACAAAUGAAAAAAGCUUGGAAGGGUCAUUGUGGGUAAUCAACCAACUUAUGAAGAGUUAGUUGAACGACUUAAUGAUACAACUUCCCGCCUUAAUGCUACUAACGAACAACUUAGUGUAGUUGUGGAUAUAAUUCGUCAUAAAAAUUUGAUGGCACCGCCCCGACCACCUCCAACAGACCAAGCUUCAGAUGCAAAUUUAAGAGAGUCACCAUCUAUUUCAGUUCGAGAGUCACAAGAUGAUUCUUAGUUUAUUUACAUUAAUUUACUAAGGAAUGAACUUUAUGAAGUUUUUUUUUAUUUUGGUAGGGGUAACCUUAAAAUGAUAACUUUAUGACUUAUUUUAGUAUUGAACAUUAUAAAGAAUUUUAGCAUUAAACAUUUUAUUA
This is a long non-coding RNA of Humulus lupulus (European hop), 2713 nucleotides long. RefSeq lists it as uncharacterized. The record is from RefSeq and is a predicted model, not a curated record. The transcript is spliced from 9 exons. Lineage: Eukaryota; Viridiplantae; Streptophyta; Magnoliopsida; Rosales; Cannabaceae.